GCACGGAAAUUUACCGCUAACAUAAGAGGUGUCAGAGCAAUACGUGCAUUCAUCACCGCUCGAUAGGUGUCGAACUAGCGGGAACAGACGGCGAGGCACUAGUUCAGCAAUCUAACCGCCUGCGCCAUGCGCGCAACACUCACUGU
This is a non-coding RNA of Caenorhabditis elegans, 146 nucleotides long. The record is from Ensembl. Lineage: Eukaryota; Metazoa; Nematoda; Chromadorea; Rhabditida; Rhabditidae.